This 254-nucleotide ribosomal RNA is filed under the name uncultured bacterium. RNAcentral describes it as "partial 16S ribosomal RNA". It matches the Rfam family "Bacterial small subunit ribosomal RNA", at positions 524 to 776 of the family's 1533-position model. The record is from RNAcentral.
UACGUAGGGGGCGAGCGUUGUCCGGAUUCAUUGGGCGUAAAGAGCUCGUAGGCGGCUUGGCAAGUCGGGUGUGAAACCUCCAGGCUCAACCUGGAGACGCCACCCGAUACUGCUAUGGCUAGAGUCCGGUAGGGGACCACGGAAUUCCUGGUGUAGCGGUGAAAUGCGCAGAUAUCAGGAGGAACACCAGUGGCGAAGGCGGAUCUCUGGGCCUUACCUGACGCUCAGGUGCGAAAGCUAGGGGAGCGAACAGG